This is a long non-coding RNA of Impatiens glandulifera, 738 nucleotides long. RefSeq lists it as uncharacterized. The transcript is spliced from 3 exons. Lineage: Eukaryota; Viridiplantae; Streptophyta; Magnoliopsida; Ericales; Balsaminaceae. The record is from RefSeq and is a predicted model, not a curated record.
AAUCUGUUGUUUGAAGAAGAAAAUGGAAGUCGGAUUUCUGCCGGAGAAGAAUCGGUGGUUCGACGUUUGUAAUAUUGAUGCUGAUGAAGGAUCUGUAUAUUUCUUCCAUGGAAAACGAAACGAUGGAUUCUGUGUGUAAGAGUUCAGUACCUAGCUAAAGGAUUUAUACUAAGUGGAAACGAUGCCAAUAAUAUACAACUAUGUUUGACAUUGGAGAGGCUAAGCCUUUCUUUCAGAUAGCUGGAAAUGUGAGUAAAGAACUUACUCUCAAGUGUUUCUCAAAAUCUACUCUCCAUGUGAGCUCUUCAACACGCUUCUCCAACUUGUCCUUUGCUUCUUGCAGUGCCCCAGUUUCUCUUGCAGCCUGCAGGAUAUAAAUUUCCAUAUGACGGACUUAGUUUUCUUACAUGGAUAUCAUAAGGAUGUCUUUUUGUUCUUAACAUUGGUGACUGGUUCUAGUUAUUUAGUGGAUGGUAAUAAGAAAAAGAUGAUUCACCAUUUUCAGCUUUCUAAGUUCCCUUCUUGCAACCUUUGAUCUCCAGAGACAUUGUAGUAUAAGUGUCGCUUUCUUCUGUUGCUUAUAGGCAGAAAGUGCAUGGUUUCCUCUCCAUUGUGUCUUUAAACAAGAUAAAUAAAGAAGUAUUAGUGCUGCCUAUGAGUUAUUACUGAUACUAGACAAUUUCUUGGCCUUUAAUUGUUCAUAUACUAUUCUCUGUUUAAGACAGUCUAUUACCUGAA